AACGCACCUUGCGCUCCUUGGUAUUCCGAGGAGCAUGCCUGUUUGAGUGUCAUGAAUAUCUCAACCUCUCGGUUCGCCGAGGGCUUGGACUUGGAGGCUGCCGGCGUCUGUCGGCUCCUCUCUAAAUGCAGUAGCGGGACGUAAAAAGCAAUGUGGCUUUCCUCAGCGUGAUAAUUGUCUUGCUGUGUGAGAGUUCUUGCGAGCGGUGUCCGUUACCACGCGUUUCGACGUGUCGUGUAACCGCCGCAGUGCGUCUGCUUCUAAUCGUCUCUUCGGAGACAAACCUCUUGACAUCUGACCUCAAAUCAGGUAGGACUACCCGCUGAACUUAA
RNAcentral lists this unclassified non-coding RNA (332 nucleotides) under Basidiomycota sp. Its description in RNAcentral is "partial contains 5.8S ribosomal RNA, internal transcribed spacer 2, and large subunit ribosomal RNA". The stretch from base 1 to 52 matches the Rfam family "5.8S ribosomal RNA", at positions 103 to 154 of the family's 154-position model. Lineage: Eukaryota; Fungi; Basidiomycota. The record is from RNAcentral. RNAcentral also lists the same sequence under 2 other names.